GACGAACGCUGGCGGCGUGCUUAACACAUGCAAGUCGAACGGAAAGGCCCUGCUUUUGUGGGGUGCUCGAGUGGCGAACGGGUGAGUAACACGUGAGUAACCUGCCCUUGACUUUGGGAUAACUUCAGGAAACUGGGGCUAAUACCGGAUAGGAGCUCCUGCUGCAUGGUGGGGGUUGGAAAGUUUCGGCGGUUGGGGAUGGACUCGCGGCUUAUCAGCUUGUUGGUGGGGUAGUGGCUUACCAAGGCUUUGACGGGUAGCCGGCCUGAGAGGGUGACCGGCCACAUUGGGACUGAGAUACGGCCCAGACUCCUACGGGAGGCGGCAGUGGGAAAUAUUGCACAAUGGGCGGAAGCCUGAUGCAGCAACGCCGCGUGCGGGAUGACGGCCUUCGGGUUGUAAACCGCUUUCGCCUGUGACGAAGCGUGAGUGACGGUAAUGGGUAAAGAAGCACCGGCUAACUACGUG
RNAcentral lists this ribosomal RNA (468 nucleotides) under uncultured bacterium. RNAcentral's name for it is "partial 16S ribosomal RNA". It matches the Rfam family "Bacterial small subunit ribosomal RNA", at positions 28 to 507 of the family's 1533-position model. The record is from RNAcentral.